GCCAAAUGCUAAGACCAUACUAGUGCCACUGGUGGAUCCUCCCAACACGGCUCGGCCACAAGAUCCCCUGACAUUUGUUUUAUCUUCCUCACUUCUCCAGACACAUCGUUCCAUGAUUCAUAGUCUUGAAUCUCUAUCCCCAGCGUGCAAUCUGAUUUUCCGUGAUUACAGUAGUCUGCCAAAACGGUAUGCGUCUGGUACUUGGGCCGAGAGUUUCCAUCAAUAUCGAUUGAUGCCACGAACUCAAGAACAUCAGGAUGGCCCACAGAACAUUGAAAUUCAGGAAGCAGAUAUAUCACUUUCCCCUACUGCAGGCGUUCUCCUUACCACGACUCAGGAAAUAACUCAGAAAUAUCUGCCAGGCCACCAGCCAAACGGACAGGGAAUCGCCCAGGAACUGAAUUACCCAGUUCGUCGACGUAUUUCCGAGAUAUGCCUUUUAUACGAAGAAGUAUAUGUCUUCAUUUGCAACCCUAUUGUUGCCCUAAACAAGGAUAAGUUAACGAGACCGCAUAUGGAAAUGGAAAUGAAC
This 532-nucleotide small RNA is filed under the name Histoplasma ohiense. RNAcentral describes it as "hypothetical lncRNA". The record is from RNAcentral. Lineage: Eukaryota; Fungi; Ascomycota; Eurotiomycetes; Onygenales; Ajellomycetaceae.